GACCCCUUAGCUCAGCGGUAGAACAUCUGAUUCCAGUGACCAUGGCGUCGAGGAAUCCAGAAGGUCGUCCGUUCAAUCCGGGCAGGGAUCA
Molecule: non-coding RNA, 91 nt
Organism: Marasmius tenuissimus
Lineage: Eukaryota; Fungi; Basidiomycota; Agaricomycetes; Agaricales; Marasmiaceae
Source: the annotation of a GenBank genome assembly